RNAcentral lists this ribosomal RNA (253 nucleotides) under uncultured Staphylococcus sp. Its description in RNAcentral is "partial 16S ribosomal RNA". It matches the Rfam family "Bacterial small subunit ribosomal RNA", at positions 109 to 354 of the family's 1533-position model. The record is from RNAcentral. Lineage: Bacteria; Bacillati; Bacillota; Bacilli; Caryophanales; Staphylococcaceae.
AGUAACACGUGGAUAACCUACCUAUAAGACUGGGAUAACUUCGGGAAACCGGAGCUAAUACCGGAUAAUAUUUUGAACCGCAUGGUUCAAAAGUGAAAGACGGUCUUGCUGUCACUUAUAGAUGGAUCCGCGCUGCAUUAGCUAGUUGGUAAGGUAACAGCUUACCAAGGCAACGAUGCAUAGCCGACCUGAGAGGGUGAUCGGCCACACUGGAACUGAGACACGGUCCAGACUCCUACGGGAGGCAGCAGGC